This 14996-nucleotide long non-coding RNA is filed under the name Hordeum vulgare. RNAcentral's name for it is "long non-coding RNA (HVUL_LNC012213)". Lineage: Eukaryota; Viridiplantae; Streptophyta; Magnoliopsida; Poales; Poaceae. The record is from RNAcentral.
GGUGAGACAGAGUCAUAGCCCCGAGUGGGGCAACACCCCUCUGGUGCGUUUUCCUUUAAGCCAAAGGUAUUCCCUCGCGGCUGUUCCAGGAAGUGCUGCUUUCUCUGUUAGAAAGCGUAAAGAGCCCAAAGCGUUUUAUAAUUGAUUUUAAAAACAGAUUUUUGCAGAAACUUAGAAUAGCUAUAACUUUUUAUAGGAAAGUCCAAAUGGGGUGAUUCUUUUUCCUACCAUUUUAUAAUGACCUCUAAUUUAUUUUAAGAUUUAUUUUAAAAUUUUCCAAACAACUUUUGUUUGCUGUUUUGAUUAUGAGUGUUAAUUCAAAUAUUUUCAAACUAGGAUUUUGAAGGGUGGCUACCUACUCCAAGAUAAUGGGGUACACAUCACCCUCCUAAUACCCCCUGAGGCAAGCAUCCUGAAUCCAUAAUUUGCAUGUGUUGUGUGAUAAUUGUGGUGGUGCUUAUAUUGCGUGAUUCGAGGAUAUGUUGAUAUUAGCAUCACAUGAAAUAAUACUUUACACCUUCAUGAUGUCACUCACAUUAUAACGAUGGUGAAAUAUGGUGAGAAUGUGCUGGUUAUGAGAGGUCGUGGAAUAACCUAGUCACGCGGAACGUGAUAGGUUAUGUCCUGGUCAUGACACGAGCACGGUGAUGCCGGUAAAACUUGGUUAACUCCAGUAUCGGCCUUGAUCGAGUCUUCUCUGUGUCAUACUUCUUAUCGUGCUACCAUAGUUUCCUGGAUAACGAAUUCGGUAUAGUCAGUUGUAGACCUAUUAUCAGUCACAUACCAAGUAGAGGGGCCGGUAUGAAGGUAUCCAUGGCCAUGGAAUAAAUCUAGUCAUCCGGUCACGGGGCAUGGGUGUUUCCGGUCUAGGACAGGAAAGGAAUGGCCCUUCCCAGUGAGCGCGUGGUAUAAAUUUUUGAUCCCAUGCUAGUCGAGGUCAGAGCCUCCCCGCCUUAUGGUUUUGCCUUGGCAGCAUAGUCCGGGUGAUGCCGGGCUUCGCGGAGGAAGAUCGGUGUGUGCUGAUUCUAAGUGUCCGCUUCUAAAAAGCCGUACGCGGGAUUAGCAUAUUGACUAUUCAAAACCGUGGACUAUGGGUCAAGAGUACACCCUCUGCAGAGUCAAAACUAUCCGAGUAGCCGUGUCCUCGGUCAAGGACGUUGUUUGACAAGUCAAGUGUCGGUCCUAGAGUCGAUCUUUGGAGUAUAAAUGGUGAUAAUAAUAAUGGUUGUGGAAAAUCAUAUGAUGAUGUGGUGGAUGAUCAUAUUAUGAUUAUUACUCUGGACUAAUCCCCUAUGAUUAUGUUGUUGGAUAUCCCUGGGACGGUCCUACUUCCUCAAAAUUCAAUAUUUAUUAUUAUUGCUUCUUUUAAGCCCUUUUUGUGGCGUCGCUAAGAUGCCCGACUGUGCCAUGUUUACUUUAUUAUAUAAGCCCUUUAUGUGGUGUCGCUUAGAGAACCGAUCGUGGCACGCAUAUUAUUACUUUUCAACAUUAUCAUCAUUGUUUGUUUAUGAAUCAUUGGUGGAAACAUUGCAUAUUUUCAUGAAUGCAUCCAUGUAUUAAACUUUAAUGGCAAGAUGUUUUGUUAGUGGAAUUUGCAUGCAUCUCACAUGCUUAACUUGUUGUUUUCUUGAUGUUUGCGAGUACAUUCGAAGUACUCACUGGCUUGUCCCUGGCUAUUGUCUUGGCCAGAUUGCGUUUGGAGAGGAGCACGAUGCCGUCAACCCUGGAACCUAGGAGUCGAGGAUAGCAGCCUUGUGUGAUAGGAAUUUAUCCAGGUCAGCUGUUCCUAUGGGAAUGGAGUCCCAUGGGCACUGGAGAUUCCUCAAGUCGCUUCCGCCGUCAACCUCAGACUUUUGUUCAACCCAGUAGACCAUCAUGGUCUUGUAACCCAGAUUUUGUAUUUUUGCUUGGAUAUUCUGUAUCAAGUAAGUGUCUACCAGCUAACAAUAAAUCCUGGGCUGGUAAACACAGAGACAUGUUUUUUGGAAAUUAUUUUUUGAAAAACACGUUGCUACAAGCUUGGUAUCAGAGCCAGGCAGACCAUUGGCUAAACCUAUGUUAGCCAGGUCGCUAUCCCUAAACCGGAUAUUUAUAUAUCCACCCGAAGCCUAGCCAACCCAAUAGCCAACCUCAAUGGCCAUUCGACACCUUUUUGGCAGUCGGUUCCUAACCUGUCAGCUCAGCCCUUAAGCUAUGCGUCUAUGACCGACGCCGGAGUUGUCGCAUCGCCUAGCGUGCGAUGAAAGACUCCUUAGCCUAUAUAGGAAGGCCCUGCCUCAACCCAGCAACCCGCAACUUUGAGACCACUACCCUAGUAAACCCCAUUUGCUUCCAAGAUGCCUGGCAACAUUCCUUGCAAUGAGACCUCCGUGUCCGAGCCUGGAGACUUUGUUGUCAUCCUCGCCAACAUGAGCCACCAUGUUUUUGGCAUAGAAGAACCUCCAGUAUAUAUUGUGCAUGAGGAGCCUACGAGUGAUGCUAUUCGUUACUUUUGGGCCUCGGUGCACAUGUAUGGAGGAAAUCCCUCGUUGUAGUGCCCUCGCCAUUUCACUGGUAGAGCAGCCACCAACGAAGCCCAAGAUCGUAAGCUUGCAACCCGUGAAGCUAUAGUCCAGUUGCGACAUCUGUCGCCAUGGAUGAACACCCAACCGUUCUACUAUUAUCCUGGUCGUGAAGGCUAUGGUAGUCUGACCCGAGUUGCCAGCGAAGACCUUGCGACAGACCCUGCCCUGGUGCAAGUUGUGAGCUAUUUGAGAGCGCAUGAGGUACUCAUCGAUCAGAUCACCUCCGACUUGGUCAUGAGCCGCGCGCCAACUGCUCGCCGGACCCGGGCAAGCUAUGAAGCCGCAACUACCUCCAACAACCAACACGUUUUUGUUGGAAGACCUGUUGGACCUUUAAGGUUUGCCCCGCCAGCCAUGACCCCAGCAGAGCUUCACCGCAGUCUGGAUGCCUUUUGCAAUGAAGCUGUGCCAAGAGCGCGUCGUCCGAGACAUCGUCGCCACCGCAACCCUGCAGCCCCACCCCAUGGCCAUGUUGACUCAGGAGCCUCGGCGAACGGAGGAGCCUUAAUGGCUACUGAGCCCGACAGCUCAGAGCCCAAUGAAGGCAGAGCGAGUCCGUCAGACUAGCUGUCAAGCCCUAAUAACCGCGUUACCAUGUAACGUUGUAUUCGCGUGUUUGUAAUAGAACGAUUUUUAAUGAAAUUGCAGGAUGCCUGCACCUCUUGUUUCUAUAAGUAAGAUUUGCGUAGACUAGCCCGCGUGGCCUUGAAGUAAAAUUUUGGGCGUGACCACCUAGCCACCAAGCCAGCUACCCGAGUGAGGUAUCACUUUAGAGUUGAUACCCGAGUUUUCACCCCGAUGAACCAGGCCACCCCAAUAUCAUAUUGUGUGUGCCCCUAAGCCAAAUACCUAGUAAGACCACCCAUGACCGCUCCUAGCAAUUCUCACCAAGUGCGCUGCCCCGAGCCACACCCCAUGAGUAUCCACUAAGACUCAUCCGAAAAUUUUGGAUGCAACCCCACAAAGGUAACCGUGUUGCCCCACAUCCCAGUUUAGAGUAGCUCUGGUUUGCACAUCCCUUGCCUUUCAGGUCAUCACUAAGGGUGUUUACCCAUCAACGGGUGGAACAAGUCCACACGCAGGCUAAUGGAAAAUUUUCAUAUUUUUCUUUGGUAGUCCAUUGUUGUCAGACCAAAGGGGACAUGUUAUCCAAGACUCCUUAUAGUAGAAGUGAAAUAUGUUUUCCCUGACCGGGACUAUUUUUCUCGGAAACCCAUGCCUGUAGCCCGUUGACCGUCCUCGGAGUGUACGUUAGUCCAGUAGUAUGUUUUCCUAAUACCAUGUGAAUAGUGGUGUAUCAUUUGAUUGCACUAUCUGCACUUGCAUACGAGUGAUUGUGUACCAUGUUACUUUCUUGUUUGCACGUGCAUUUGACUCACCAUGCCCACUGUUUUUCUGAGUGAAUUAUUUUCUGUCCUAAGCAAAUCUCGGGGACGAGGUUUAUUCUUAAGGGGGGUAGUUCUGUCAGACACCAAAAUUUUGAAAAUAUUUUUCUGAAAUAAAAUUUUUCCUAGAGUAAACUUUUUAGAAAAUGAAUUGCUUCAUGGCUAUUUCCGAAGCCUCUUUCCAAAAAAAUUCAUUUCAAGUGGCCUUUCAAAUUUUCUUUUCAUGCUUGAGCCCUUACAUGAGACCAUAUGAAGUAGUUAUUUUCUUAGAAGGGAAUAUUAUUUUGGCUAUGUCCAUUUAAUAUUUGAAUAUCUGGAUUUUUAAUUAAGUUUUGAAACACUUCUUUUCCUUUAUAAAGAUAUUUUCCCUAUGAGAAUAGUUUUGAAAAUUUAUAUUGGCAUCUAAAUACUUAUAUAAAAGAAUUUCCUUCUUCUGGUAAAUUGUUGGGAUAUUUUUAUUUUAACAUUCUUACCAAGAUUUCUUUUACUAUAAACAGAUUUAUAUUUCUUAAGGCUGAUUUGCACUGCAACCUUGUGACAACUUCUUCUGAAAAUUCUAUAAAAAUUUGUAGGUGGCCAGUGAUGUUUCUAGGUCACAUUUAUGCAAAAACCUACUCAAGUGUUUUGAAUAUUUGAAGCACAAUAACUAGGUUUCUAAUAUGGUUCAGAAUUGAGUUUGUACUACAACCCCUAGAAAUAUUCUUUCAUAAAUUCCAUAAAAAAUUGGGGAUGUCAAGUAUAGCAUAAGAUUCAUUUUUAUGCAAAAAUCCCACUAUGUGGUAUGUAAAAUUUGUGUACAACCAUUUUUCUGAUCUGGCCCAGUUUGGUGCUUUACACUGCAACCCUAUUUUUCCUUGCUCGAAUUGCUUUGAAAUUUUGCAUGCUUGUUUGCAACCCCACCAAAACCUUAAAUCUAGGAUUUGAGCCCCAUUGGAUGAAAAUAGAGGCAUGUGAUAAAAACCCCAAAUUUUUGUCCAGUAUGGUGAUUUUUAAAAUAUUGCAUUGUCUAGUUUUGAUUUUUGCCAAACUAACCUCACCACCAUUGCUAGCACCUAGAGAGACCUUGAUCUAGAAAGUUUGGAGGGCAUCAAAGACCAUUUAGAGCCCCUGGCAUUUCAUCAAACACCGUGGAGCAUGACCAGAUUUGACAUGAAUUUAUGUUUGCACUAUGAAGUUGAUGAUCCGACCCAAGCAUAUUGUCCAACAGUUAUGCCUUAGUCUCAAGCCUACCCCUUUGAGUUUGCACUAGCUUGGAGCCCAUUCUUCAUGCGCAAGCAUUUUGUCUAGCAGGUGCCGUGCGUUCUCUGGUCAUGGCCAGAGCGCACGUUUUGCACGCGCUGCUACCGAGCCGUCGCGUCCCCGUGCCCCUGCCCUAUGGACCAAAUACAGAGCCGCGUCAACCCUCCCUCUCCCUCGACCGUUGGUCGCCGCUCGUGUGCGUGGAGGGCCGCAGCAGCGCGCCAGCCGUGGCGGCUAGCCGGCGUCAGCACUGUCGCAGCGGUGAACGGCACCGCCCGAGCCCCUCCAGCGCGCCAGGUGUUGCGGUCCUUCCCCCCUGCAUGAGCUGCUCGCUGCCCUGACGCCCUGCCGCGGCCGCUGCGCUCCUGAAGCCUUGUCCCCGACGAUCUUUUCCAGAGGCCGCCGGGGAACCGACCGUUGCGGGCUAUAAAAGAACCCCCCGAGCUCUCUGAGCCUCGCAGCAGCCUCCCCCUGAGCCGUAUCUCCCUCCCCCUCACCUCAUUUUAGCCGGAACCGCUCCCCUGCUCCCGUGCGACAACAUCGUCGCCUUUGGCCUCCGGCCAAAUUCCAGUAGCCCUGAACCCUUGCCGCCUUAUCUUGGCCACUGCUAGAGUCCCCUCCUGCCCCUGAACCCAUUCCCGAUGCUAUGGUCGAGCCAUGGCAGCGGUAGGCCAAGGAUAUCGCCGUUGGAUCUCUCUGUCCCCAUGGCGAGGAGAGGGUUCACAGGUGACCUCCAGCGCCGCCCUUGCCCUCCAGAGGAUGCGGCUCUCCCUCGCGAUCCUGCCGGUGUGCUUAGCACCGCAAGCGAUGUCCCCUAGCGCCGGUGAGCCUCGCCGGAGUGCCUCUGUUGCCUGCCCAAGCACACACAGGAGGAGGGAGAAGAACCUGACAGGCGGGCCCCACCUGUCGGUGAUAGAGAGCCAUAGCCCCAAGUGGCGCAACCCCCCUGGUUCGUUUUCUUUUAAGCAAAGCGUAUUCCCUCGUGACUGUUGCAGUAAGUGCGCUUUCUAUGAUAGAAAGCAUAAAGAGCCGGAAGCGUUUUCGUUUAUAAUUGAAUUUAAAAACGGAUUUUUGCAGAAACUUAGAAUAGCUAUAACUCUUUAUAGGAAAGUCCAAAUGGGCUGAUUCUUUUUCCUACCAUUUCCGAGGAAGAUGGAGCACGACGCCUCAGCAUCAGAGCAGUAGGAGUGGCAAGGAGUGAGGCCCACUCAGAAGGAGUCUCAUAACGACUGCCACACGAAGUGCCUCGCGGCACCGAAGAGCUAGCUGGAAUCUCAAAUCCACGUGGUGGUGGAACUGGUGGUGCAUAUGGAGGUGAAACAGAAGACUGGGGUGGGGGUGGCACUGUAGUUGCGAUAACAAGUGCCGCCCGAAGACGGGAUAAAUCCUCAGCCAGGGAUACAAUCCUACGAUAGCUGCCGCUCACAUAGCAAUACACCCCGAUUCAACGAACCGGAUUACCAGUGUUUCCAACCCAGAGAUCAUGUCUUCUUCAAACACUCAACAACUUGGAGCAGAACUGAGCUGACUUUAUUGAUAGCAUAAGGUUACAAGUACAUAUCUUACAAUGAUAGCGAGACCAAAGGCACCCUUGGUGCUGCAACAGUAUCUACAUUAUAGAUGAAACAUAGUGGGGCCUCGAAACUAGUAAGUGCUUCUAUGGCAUAGCAGAACAUAGCAGCAACUCCAUACAUAGGGACACUUGUGUGGGCACUUCCUAGUACGGACCAUCAAGACCUCUGUCCUUGGCUUCUCCUGCAUCUGGCAUGAUACGCCAGGUGAGUACUUGGAAUGUACUCGCAAGCUCACAAUAACAAAGUAAUGCAACAAACAAUAACAUGGCAACAAAUCAUAAAUAAUACCACUGGUUAUACUGAUUAUCAACUUACUCAUGCCCGGGGUGGUCUCACAACCACCGAGAUACUCAUUAAGCAUCUCCACUCAGUUGAAGAGUUCUUCCAUCAUUACUAACAUUAACAUGGUUGACCGUCUACUGAGGUCUGGUCGGGCUGUCCAUUACUAUGGACACGGCUAUUCGAAUAGGUUUGACACUCUGAAGAGGUUGCACUCUUUACCCACAUUAUGGAGCACUGACCUCGCAAUCCUAUUUGGGUCGACUAGCAUUACUCCAACAGGACUUGCCUGGCCCGUGACUCUCUCAUCAUACCCCCGACAAUCACUCUCCCCCGGAGUCUUGCCCUAGGUGGCCCUGUGUCCUCAUGACACCUGCCACCAUCGUGGCCAAACUAAACUGUCCCAACUAGGGACGGGCCCAACUAUUCCCAACUGGGCUCACAGGGUUAUCACCGCCUACCGGGCCAAGGUAGCACGCGUGCAUAACCCUCCCUCUUUGGAGGUACCGGUGAAAGAUCACUCGAUCAGCUCAAGUCACAGCCGUCCCAUAUCGGCAAGAUGUGGUUGUACGGUUAGGCCCGGACAGGUGACUCAAGAUCAACCACUAGGAUAUUAUGAACAUAGUGAUUUAUAACAGUGACCACAUAUUUUUAUUUGAUGAUUUAUUAGACAUUUAUUUUAUAGCAAAAUAAGUAAGCAUAAUGGAUGAAAAUGUAUGUUAUGCUAUGCAAUAGUACACCACAUGGAUAUAAUGGCUUACAUUGAUUAAUGGGCUGGUUCAAACACUCCUGGUCUUCAAAGUUUCCUUAUGAAAUAUAUAUGAAAUAGCAAAAGAAAGGAAAAAGUUAUAUAACACCUUUUUGUAAAUCAGAAAUUCUAUGAGUGUAAGAAAAAUACCAAACUUUACCAGAGAAUAGAGGGGGUCAGUACCAACUCAAUGCAAAAAGAAUCAAGUGAUUUGGACUUAAGAAUCUAAAGAUACAAAGGUCAAAGAUGCUGGUCAAAUCUGAAAUUAAAUAAAAAGAAAAAGAACAUGGCAGAGGCCACGUCGAAGGCGUAAAGUGGAGGGGGCGCCUCCACUUACUGCUUCGGCCGCGGGCCUUAGCCACUGGCCGGUGGGGCCUGCCUCUUUUAAACAGAGAGAGGGGGAAGGGGACAGGGACGCGGCGGCUCUUCGGCGACGGUCGCCGACGCUAGAGACGACGAGGAGGCCUGUGACUAGGGGGAAUGGAAUGCCUGGUCUACGACGAACACGCACGUACCCGCAGCUCAACGAGAGGUGGACAAAUGGCGUCUGCCCCUUCUUCUCCGGCGGCGGCCGCUUCGGGUGGUCGUCGGAGACGGUGGUUCCUGUGGCAAUAGGCUCGGGCGAGGGGUCGAGGAGCACCAGGGGGAAAGCCUGAGCUUGAUGGAGAGGUGCAGAGGGCUCUGGGGAGGGUCGUUGGGGCUGGCGACGGUGGGGCUGCAAGCGGAGGAGCUCCGAUGAUGAUUCGAGGCCAGAGGGCCUCUUGUCCUUGGCUCACUCUUGGGGGGGGGGCGAUUGGAGGCUGCAGGAGGGGGAUGAAGAGCUCGAAGGGGUCAGGGCGACCUUUCAAUAGGCAGGCGACGAGCGCGUCCGAUCUCUCCUGAAGCGGCGAGGAUAAGCUCGGCCACUAGAGCAGGGGGUGAGCUGGCCAUCACGGAGUGACCUGAGGUGACGGAGGAGGCCUAAGGGUUGACGGGACGUAUCCUACGCCAUUAAUGGCUCGUGAACACCCACAGUGGAUGGAGCCGACUGUUCAAUCCGUGGAGGAGCUUGGCAGGGAGCAGCGGCGACCUUCUCCGGCGACCCAGGGCCUUCCGAAGGUGCCACGCGGCUGCCAGGGACGCCCUCGACACCACGGACAAGGAGGGGCAGCGAUUGACGGCACAAACAACUUGGCUGUCACAGGGGGCUGCACAACGCGCGCGCUCUGGCGUGCCAGUACCAUGGUCACCACGGUUACGGCUGCCACAAGGCCACACAAUCCCGGGGACCUUGUCCAUUGUGUCGACCUCACUCUUACCAGUCACUAUCCAUCAUUAGUUUGACCAGUCACUCACUCCUGCAAAGUGGAACAUCAACUACAGCAUCUGCCUGCAAACUUGGGGCGGAUCUAGAGCUCAAAUGGGUUAGGGUUAGGGCAAGCUAGCAUGUCUGCGUUAAUCAACAUCGGAAAGACUACAGACUGGCAAAGUUCCUUUGUAAAUCAUCUUUCUGGUCCAAAAUGCAAAUGAGCUCAUGGCAUUCACAUGCAAGCCUCGCUAAUGGUGAAACUUGUUGGAGGAGUGUUAUUUAGUGGUGCACACAUGUCCAAAAAAUUUCAAAUCAUUGGUGCACCCCUAGCUAGCACUUCCUUCACAAAGGUUUAGUUUUAAUAGAAACUUAAUAGAGUUUUCCUGCUCAAAACUUGUACUGGACAAUCAGAUGUUUUUACAUAUUUGAACUAAAUAUGAUCCCUUGGAGCUAAGGGAAUUUAUUGGAAAUUUUCUAAAACAGGAAAAUUAGGGUUGCUUCACAAAGUGACAAUUCUGGUCAGAAAGAAAUAAUUUUUCUAGCCAAAAUUUUACAUUGGGCAAUGAAAUGUUUUUGAAGAUUUCGAAAUCAUAUGAUACUGAGAACAUGUGGCAAAUGUGGUGGGGUAAAUAGCUUGUCCCAACUAUAGGUUGCUUCACAACCCAUGGUGAUGCCAUAAUUUCCCCAAAAUAGAAAAAGAGUUAUUUGAAAGAUUUAAUCAUUGCAAAUUAUUCCAAGAAAGGUUUUGGCAAGAGACAAAAGGUUUCGGUUGCUUGUGACAAGAAAUCAGAGACUCACAAUUCAACUUGCUUGAGAAAAUUUGAAAAUCCAUCAAUUUGCAAGUGAAACUCCAAAAUAUUUGAAAAGAAAAAGUUUGAAAAAAAUCAGGGUGUUACACAUCAACCCCGGAACCUAGGAGUCGAGGAUAGCAGCCUUGUGAGAUAGGAAUUUAUCCAGGUCAGCUGUUCCUGUGGGAAUUUAGUCCCAUGGGCACUCGAGAUUCCUCGGGUCGCUUCCGCCGCCAACAUCAGACUUUUGUUCAACCCAGUAGACCUUCAUAGUCUUGUAAUCCAUAUUUUGUAUUUUUGCUUGGAUAUUCUGUAUCAAGUAAGUGUCUACCAGCUUACAACAAAUCCUGGGGCUGGUAAACAUAGAGACAUGUAUUCUGGAAAUUAUUUUCUGAAAAACACGUCGCUACACACGUGGCGACACUUCAUAAACAACAUACCAACCUUCCAGAUUCUUAUCAGUUUGGCAUGUCCACGGUAGAUAGAAAACUUGGGUCACCUGUUGAGUCGUAAUAUAGACAUCAGGAACAUCUAAAUGGGUGUUUGGAUUGAUUUUGACUAGUCCUAUAUGUUCAUGAGUCCUUCUAGUCUCCUUCGGUUGAAACCAAUAACAUUUGAAGACUACGACGUUCGGUGGGUUUUCACCAUAGAAUUGAAGUUCAUAAAUUGCUUCAACUCUUCCAUAAUACUUGAUACCACUUCGCCGAUAGCAGAGACACCACAAUUUGUAGAUUUCCGGUCGGGCCUAGAUAGCUCUUUGCCAAAGGUACGAAAGAGAUACCCGUUGAUGUUGUAUUUCUCAAAUGAAGGGACCUUAUAGUCAAAACCAUUAGCGGCUUGUCUCAAUUCGGCGUCCAUAGACUCGGAAUUAGCAUACAAGUUUAAUACGAAACAAUUUUUGCAUUAGCCGAAAGUUAGACCAAGAAAUGAAAUGGCCCAUUAUUUAUAAUUACCAUUUGUUUGAACCAAGAGAUGAAACCGGGAUAGCCGCCUCUAUGCUUUGCCAGGAGCUCAUACUCUUCGACGAAAUCAUUUUGGAUCACCGCUCCAUCCGAGAAUUUGGCGACGUAUCGGAUGUAUGAAAUAUCUGGGAAUAAGAGCAGUUCAAAGGAAUUAGAAGUUACGGAAAAAUGUGCCGAGAACGUACUCGAUGUACGGUCGCACUUCUGUUAGGUUGUUGAAGAUAUACAACGAAAUGUUUUUCCAUUUUUGGCUUCGUAGUGUACUGUCACAAAGUUAGUCAGCUCCUCAGUAAUGAAUGCAUCAGCCAUCGAUGCUUCAAUUCUACGCUUAUUUUUACAUUUAGCCCGAAGGGUCUUCUGUAUCCUCUCAGUUGCAUAGCACCAACAAUUUUGCUGGGGCCCACCCAAUCUUGUCUCGAUCGGUAGAUGUAAAAUCAAUUACUGCACCGGAUUAAAGAAGCCCAGCGGAAACAUCUUCUAUAACUUCCACAACAAGUCCGGUGCAAACUCCUCCAUGUCAUGUACCACGCCAUGCGACAAUUCUUUCGCACAAAGAACACGGAAGGAAUAGCUCAUCUCCGCCAGUACUAGCCAUUUAUCCUCACGAAUAAAGCCACAUAACAUCACCCACAUUACCCGCUCAAGCCAUAUGUGCCAAUCAUGACUCUUGAGACCAAAGAUUUUUAAUUUUUUAAGACUCGCUCCCCUCUUUAGAUUUAGUGCAUACCCAUCGGGAAAGAUCAAGUGCAUUUUGACCCACAAGAUAAUUUCCCUCAUAGCUAGCCUUCAAAGAUUGGACCACGCCUUUGGCUUCGACCACUUCUACUUUCCUUUACCUUCUCGCAUGUUUUGUAACGGUCUGUGACAUAGUGUCUCUUGAUCGACUCUAGCCUUAGAAUUAUCCUUUGUCUUCCCAUCUAUGUCGAACAAUGUACCAAAAAUAGCCUCUCCGAUAUUCUUUUCAGUGUGCAUCAUGUCGAUAAUGUGUGGAAGAAAGAGGUCUUUGAAGUAAGGCAGAUCCCACAUGCAUGGCUUGUGAGUCCAGGCGUGUUUUGAAUUAUACCCCUUGAAAUACCCUGGACGCUCUGGAUCACGCUUGAGGGAGUUUAACUGAUCCAGGAUCUGUUAGCCUAUCAACGCAGGUGGUGCCAAGUUUUUGACAACUUUACCUUUGGCAAAGUUCUCCUUGUCUUUUCUGAACUGAUGGUCAGGAUCCAGGAACUAUCUAUGCAAGUCAAAGCAAGAAUACUUCCAACCCUCCUGCAACCAAUGAAACUGAAGAGCUGCCUUGCAUGUGGGGCACGGGAAACUUCCAUGAACACACCAUCCAAAGAAUAGCGCAUACGUCAGCAAGUCAUGCAUAGAGUACAUGUACCACACAUGCAUUUUGAAAUUUUCUUUAAUAGCGGCAUCGUAUGUCCUGACCCCUUAUCCCAAGCUUCUUUUAAUUCAUCCUUAAGAGGUUGCAUGUACACAUUCAUAUUCUUCCCCGAAUAAUUGGGACCUGGAAUGAUCAACGUCAGAAAUAUGUUCUUUCUUUGCAUAAUCUGCCCGGGGGGGGGAUUGAGUGGAAAGACAAAUACAGGCCAACUACUGUAUUGGGUUGCCGUCAUGCCGAAGGGAUUAAAACCAUCCGUGGCGAUGUAGAAUCGAGGAUUCCUUGGAUCUGCCGCUUUAUCCUGAUGCAAUCCAUCGAAAUGUUUCCAUGCUUCCCCAUCAGAUGUGUGUACCGCCAUCUUAUUCCCAUCCACAUCUAGUUCGGUUCCUUUGCCCAUUUUGUGCCAUGUCAUCUGUCUGGUUGUCUCUUCGACCAUGAAAAGACGUUGAAGCCUUGGUAUGAUUGGCAUAUACCGAAGAACACUAACUACGAUUUUGGUCUUCCUCUUCUCACCCAUACCGUUGUCUACCACAAGAUACCUACAAGACUCGCAUUUGGGCCAAUAGUCCAAGUGUGCAUUCUCCUUACUAACUAAGACACAUCCUUUCUCCCAUGCAGCUAUUUUCUCAUAGGGCAUCUGAAGUACACGAAGUAUUUUGUCCGACUGCUACAGGUUUGCAGGCAUGACAUGGCCUUUGGGUAGAAAGCGUCCAAAUAGUGGCAUCAUCGCGUUGUAGCAAUCUCUUCCCAAGUUGAACUGGGCCUUCAGAGCCAUUACUUGUGCAAUGGCAUCCAACUAACAAAGCUCAGUGUGCUCGUGGAGAGGAUGUUUUGAAGACUCCAACAUUUCAUGGAAGGCCUUUGCAGAUUCCUCCAUCUCAUCUUCCAAAUCCCGAGCAUCAUCAAAGUCUUGCACCAUGUCUUCGAUCCCGGUACCAUGCUCGUCGGUGGAACAACGAACCACCUCAGCUCUCACGCGUUGUAUAGACUCACCAUGAAAUGUCCAAACCGUAUAAUUAGGCUUAAAACCCCUUCUCUGCAGGUGUUUAAUCAUUACAGCCUCUGUCCUGUUUUUAUAGUAGUCGCAUUUAGGACAAGGGCCUAGUUUGUUUCUUGGCCAUUUGCAAAUGCGGCUUUCACAAACUCCUUGGUUUUUAGAAACCAUUCUUUUGUCAUCUCUUUUCUAACUAGGGUAACCGGUGUACAUCCACGCACGAUCACUCAUCUUGCCUAGUUACUAAACACACAAGAAAUAUAUUUAUAUAUAAUUCAGCAUAUAUAUUCAUCAGUUAAUCAAGUUCGCCACUUUUAUUACGUUCAUGCAACCUACACGCUAAUAGGUAAAGAUAGGUCCUAAUCCCACCCGAGUAUGUGUAGAUUGGGUUCGUUUUCCCAUGAUGUGUUCCAGAUCCAACACAAAAUUUUGAUAGCACCUCCCCAUUGUUCUCCUGAUACACGUCUCCGCAAUAAACAGAGAGGAUGUGUAUCCGGAGAACAACAGGGAGGCACUGACGAAAUUAUGCAUGGGAUACGGAACAAAGCAUAUGGGAAAAUGAACCCAAUCUACACAUAAUCGGGCUGUCCAUGGAUAACGUUGGACAAUUCAGAAGAAUCAUGGUUAUAAAUAUAUGCAAAUGCAUGCAUAUUUAUAACUGUAACCCUUUCGAACGAGAGACGCAUACUCGUCACGCAUACUGAUAAAUUAAUUUACCUAUAUCUAGCAAGUUUAUCCGAACACCGACAUAGAGCAAAUGAAGGGGCGAGGAGGAGAUGAUAUUUGUAAUCACCAAUGAAUGCAGGGUCGGAGCUCGUAGAAUGCACAGGGAGGUCUUCGCACAGCAAACCUCAUAGCGAUGAAACAAGUGUCACAUGUAAAUCCACCCGAUCAACACAAAUAUUUUGUGUUCACCGAUAAAAUCGAAAAAUAUAUGACCUAACACAAAUAUAUGACCUAAAAAAUGAGCCUAAAAGGUUUCACGCUUUUUGCACAGGCAAAUCCAUAAAAGGCGACCCUUGCAAAUGGUACUUAAGUGCUAGUUGGAAGAGGGACAAAAAUUGUGUGAUGGUAAUAACUUUUUUUGUGAUUUCUACUCUUAUUCCUUCAUAUUGUUUGUCAUGAUAAUAAACUUCAGAUUUUGUGCCUUUUUUUGCUGCAGGUUGCGAAGCAUCAAACUGAGCACAUUUGUAGUUCAACGAGUGGAAAAGUGACAAGUAUGACAACUCAAUCUUGGGUGACUGAUAGGGCAGCGGCUAUGUUGAAGAAAGAUCCAACCAUUGGUGUUGUGAAGAUAAUGAGCAGCCCAUAUAUUAUUAUGUGGGAUAUGUGGGUUUAGUGGGACACCCACAUAAUUAACUAUUUUUAACACGAGUGAAAUAUUCCCACAAGACAUAAUGUUUCAGACUGUACUGUUAUGCAGGUUCCUCUAGAUUCAUACGGAGUGCAGGCGCAUAAUUCUUGUGCCUUGAGAAGACAAAGAAUACUCUCUGUAACUCUUGCCAUUAGCAUAGCUCAGUGCUUUGGUUUUGAGGGAAGCCAAUUUUGCAGGUUGCGCCUCAAAUUGGCUUGCUAGGGGCACAGUUGACUUGAUCACACUCACGCAUGCAAGAUGCAAUCAGGAGCUACCCAUCAAAUAAUUGUCCUAGUGAACAUCGAUCGUUGAUGGGGAUCGAUCUGUUGAUGAUGAGAAUACAAUUUGAAGGGGGAUGCAAGUGAGAUUGUCAAUAUGCUCUUGGGAUUCAGGAAGGGCACACGCACUAUCCUCUCGCUCAUUCAACAAGCAAAGAAGCACGC